UACGAAGGGUGCAAGCGUUACUCGGAAUUACUGGGCGUAAAGCGUGCGUAGGUGGUUCGUUAAGACAGGUGUGAAAUCCCCGGGCUUAACCUGGGAACUGCGCUUGUUACUGGCAGACUUGAGUGUGGCAGAGGGGGGUGGAAUUCCACGUGUAGCAGUGAAAUGCGUAGAGAUGUGGAGGAACACCGAUGGCGAAGGCAGCCCCCUGGGCUAACACUGACGCUGAUGCACGAAAGCGUGGGGAGCAAACAGG
Molecule: ribosomal RNA, 253 nt
Filed under: uncultured bacterium
Lineage: Bacteria
Description: partial 16S ribosomal RNA
Rfam family: Bacterial small subunit ribosomal RNA
Source: RNAcentral